This 253-nucleotide ribosomal RNA is filed under the name uncultured bacterium. RNAcentral's name for it is "partial 16S ribosomal RNA". It matches the Rfam family "Bacterial small subunit ribosomal RNA", at positions 524 to 776 of the family's 1533-position model. The record is from RNAcentral.
UACGUAGGGGGCGAGCGUUGUCCGGAAUCAUUGGGCGUAAAGCGCGUGUAGGCGGCCCGGUAAGUCCGCUGUGAAAGCCCGGGGCUCACCCCCGGAAGGGCAUUGGAAACUGGCGGACUCGAGUCCCGGAGAGGAAGGUGGAAUUCCUGGUGUAGCGGUGAAAUGCGUAGAUAUCUGGAGGAACACCGGUGGCGAAGGCGGCAUCCUGGACCGACACUGACACUGAGGAGCGAAAGCCAGGGGAGCAAACGGG